Molecule: ribosomal RNA, 253 nt
Filed under: uncultured bacterium
Lineage: Bacteria
Description: partial 16S ribosomal RNA
Rfam family: Bacterial small subunit ribosomal RNA
Source: RNAcentral
UACGUAGGGGGCAAGCGUUGUCCGGAAUCACUGGGCGUAAAGCGCACGCAGGCGGUCAUUCACGUCCGGGGUGAAAACCCAGAGCUCAACUCUGGGACUGCCUUGGAUACGGGGUGACUUGAGGAUCGGAGAGGCAAGGGGAAUUCCACGUGUAGCGGUGAAAUGCGUAGAGAUGUGGAGGAACACCUGUGGCGAAGGCGCCUUGCUGGCCGAUUUCUGACGCUGAGGCGCGAAAGCGUGGGGAGCAAACAGG